Molecule: ribosomal RNA, 252 nt
Filed under: uncultured bacterium
Lineage: Bacteria
Description: partial 16S ribosomal RNA
Rfam family: Bacterial small subunit ribosomal RNA
Source: RNAcentral
UACGUAGGGGGCUAGCGUUGUCCGGAAUUAUUGGGCGUAAAGAGCUCGUAGGCGGUUUGUCGCGUCUGCCGUGAAAGUCCGGGGCUCAACUCCGGAUCUGCGGUGGGUACGGGCAGACUAGAGUGAUGUAGGGGAGACUGGAAUUCCUGGUGUAGCGGUGAAAUGCGCAGAUAUCAGGAGGAACACCGAUGGCGAAGGCAGGUCUCUGGGCAUUAACUGACGCUGAGGAGCGAAAGCAUGGGAGCGAACAGG